Molecule: unclassified non-coding RNA, 232 nt
Filed under: fungal sp.
Lineage: Eukaryota; Fungi
Description: partial internal transcribed spacer region
Source: RNAcentral
AAGUCGUACAAGGUUUCCGUAGGUCAUUAACACGCAUCCAACGUUUAACCACCCGCGCACCUUCACUGAAACCGUUAACACGAAUUGCCUGGCGGAAUAACUAUUCAAGAUCAUAACUUCACACGCCAGCGUGUCUGGCCACCGCGGAACAACCUCACUAGAAACCCGACCGAUGCGCCGGAUCCUCGCGGGUUCAGGCGUCGGAAACCCCGACUAUGGAUAUCUGGGCUUC